Molecule: ribosomal RNA, 345 nt
Filed under: uncultured bacterium
Lineage: Bacteria
Description: bacterial SSU rRNA
Rfam family: Bacterial small subunit ribosomal RNA
Source: RNAcentral
GAUGAACGCUAGCGGCAGGCUUAACACAUGCAAGUCGAGGGGUAGAAGGAGCUUGCUCCUUUGAGACCGGCGCACGGGUGCGUAACGCGUAUGCAAUCUACCUUUUGCAGAGGGAUAGCCCAGAGAAAUUUGGAUUAAUACCUCAUAGUAUGUGAGGAUGGCAUCAUUUUCACAUUAAAGUCACAACGGCAAAAGAUGAGCAUGCGUCCCAUUAGCUAGUUGGUAAGGUAACGGCUUACCAAGGCUACGAUGGGGUAGGGGUCCUGAGAGGGAGAUCCCCCCACACUGGUACUGAGACACGGACCAGACUCCUACGGGAGGCAGCAGUGAGGAAUAUUGGACAAU